GACGAACGCUGGCGGCGUGCCUAAUACAUGCAAGUAGAACGCUGAAGGAAGGAGCUUGCUCUUUCUGGAUGAGUUGCGAACGGGUGAGUAACGCGUAGGUAACCUGCCUGGUAGCGGGGGAUAACUAUUGGAAACGAUAGCUAAUACCGCAUAAAAUUGAUUAUUGCAUGAUAGUCAAUUAAAAGGUGCAACUGCACCACUACCAGAUGGACCUGCGUUGUAUUAGCUAGUUGGUGGGGUAACGGCUCACCAAGGCGACGAUACAUAGCCGACCUGAGAGGGUGAUCGGCCACACUGGGACUGAGACACGGCCCAGACUCCUACGGGAGGCAGCAGUAGGGAAUCUUCGGCAAUGGACGGAAGUCUGACCGAGCAACGCCGCGUGAGUGAAGAAGGUUUUCGGAUCGUAAAGCUCUGUUGUAAGAGAAGAACGAGUGUGAGAGUGGAAAGUUCACACUGUGACGGUAUCUUACCAGGAAGGGACGGCUAACUACGUG
This 497-nucleotide ribosomal RNA is filed under the name uncultured bacterium. Its description in RNAcentral is "partial 16S ribosomal RNA". It matches the Rfam family "Bacterial small subunit ribosomal RNA", at positions 28 to 507 of the family's 1533-position model. The record is from RNAcentral.